RNAcentral lists this microRNA precursor (101 nucleotides) under Marmota monax (woodchuck). Lineage: Eukaryota; Metazoa; Chordata; Mammalia; Rodentia; Sciuridae. The record is from RNAcentral.
AGUGGAAUUGUUGAAACAUAUGGCAAUUCUGUUUAAUUUUUUGAGGAAUCACCAUACUAUUUUUCAUAGUGGCUACACUAUUUUACAUUUCCAUCAGCAAU